Molecule: long non-coding RNA, 2587 nt
Organism: Apis cerana (Asiatic honeybee)
Lineage: Eukaryota; Metazoa; Arthropoda; Insecta; Hymenoptera; Apidae
Source: RefSeq, a predicted model, not a curated record
GAAGUCAUUGGACUUCCUACAGGAUAUGGAAUAAUAACACGUGGUCCAUGCUGCGGAAUUCCACAUGGUACUCUCCCAUCGAGUGGUUACAUUAGAUCAGCUGGUACGCCGACGGCUUACUGGCUGGAUGGUUGGCUGCUGUGACGUCAGCUCGUUCGUCGGAUACCCGCUGAGUUCUCUCGGAUCAGUCCCGUAGAAGUAGGUCGACUAAAUCCGCGUCGCCCACGCUGCUCGAAGCUUAGAACACCAUCGUCGCUAUCGUCAUCCGAAAAGAAUGUCGGUCUCUGAACGAAGGAAUCGUUUGUCGCUCUUGUACGAUCUACCUCAAAAUAAUCUAUGACGUUCUUUUUUUCCUUUUUUUUUUUUUUUUAAGUUAAGAAGAUUAUUCCGACUUUAAGUCGACGAUAUAUUUUCUAUGAAACUCGAGUAUCAUGCAUGUUCAUUGAACAAACGUUAUCGUAUCAGAUAAUAGUGGCGACGUUGAAAUUGAAUGACUUUUUCCAAGAGAUUAUUCCCGGAUGCUGGAAAAUUUGAAAAGUGAGAAAUCACGAAACUGAAUUUCAAAAAUUUCGAUAGAAUUUGUUUUGCAAUUGUUAUAUAAGAGAUGUAUGUAUUGACUAAUAUUAUUAUAUUAUCAUUAUUGAGCUAAUAUUUUGAAAACUUGGAAUUACGUAACUAUACCACUCCAAUUCGAUAUUUUUUUCUUGAACGUAUGCUUAACGUAUACGUAAUGUUAAAAAAAUGCGCAGAAAAAUCAAAUUUGCACGAAAUCACAACGAAAGGCCAGAAUCAAAUUCAACAAUAUCAUUAAUAAAUAUACAUAUAGUAUCGCGUAAAGAUAAAAGAAAUUUCCGAUAUAAAUCAUCAAAGAUACGUCCAGUCUCCCGUUGAUCGUUCGAAACGAGAAGAACAUAGGCACGGAGGCGUGCGAAUGUUUUCACGCGGCAUACGUGCAGACGCGGGCGCGCGAGCGCGCGCGCGAAAAAACACAGCUAAAUACGCCGCGGAAUUGCGCCUAUAUACGCGCACACGGAUGUUCGAAUCUGGUGCCACGUCCGCGUUCCGCGUGUGUGUCGGUGCUCUCGCGCACGCGCGCGGCUGUGUAUUAGUGAGAGAGCCGCGAGAGAGAGAGACAUGCGGAUUGUGCGGUUGUGUGUCGGCGACGCGCCGCUCUCGGUCGGCUCGCGUGAGUCACCAACAGCUGAUGGCUGGCGCCACUCAGCUGGUUGUUACCGGUGCCUUCGCACGAGCCUCGCUAUCUCUGGCUGCCUAUCAGCUGCGAGCAACUAGGAAAACGACCGGAAAGGACGUCUUGUCGAGCUCUAUAAAAAAACCAGAGAGAAAAAGUGCCGUGGUUACGCGACGGCGUCUACGAUGGCGUUGGCGUUCCUUCGAGCCUUCCAACCUGAUCGCCUUGUCGGGUAUAAAUGAAACACGUAGUCGAAACACGCACCAAGAAGAUUACACGCUUCCGUUUCACUUCAGAUUCUAUACCCGAUCGAGUAAUUCCCCGGGUGGAAAUAUUUAGGUAUACGUGUACGCGACGCGCAACGUUCUGUCGUAUAACGGAAAAGGUCAAGGUUCAUUGAAAAGUUGAGUAAAUUCGUACCGUUUGAGAAUCUUGGCCGUUUCAUUCAUCGCUUUGAAUACGGUUCAUAGAGUACUUUGGUUAUUUUAGGAUCUAUCUGUUCCACGAUUGCUGGAUGCAACGAUCCGAUGUUACGCCAUUUGUUUGUCGAUAUACGCGUACACUGAUCUUGCACGAUUAAUUUUGAUGUUUCGAGUGCUAAGAUUGGAUUUUGAUACGCGAUCGAGAUUAUCGUACAUGUACGAUUUGUUAUUUUAUAAUUAAAAAAGUUUUACGUCAUGCAAAUUUUAAUACAUAAUCCGUUUUCUAUCCGUUAAUAUUAUGUUUACGUUUCUAUAACAUUUUAUUUAUUUUCAACAUUAUAUAAUUCUCUUUUUACUUUGAGUAUGUGUCAACAACUAUCCUAUUACCAUAAAUAAAAUCAUAAUAUUUUUUCUUAUCUUUUUUUUUUUUCCUUAUCCAUACAAGUUUUUUGUAAAAGAAAAAAAGAGGAAAAAAAUUCAAUAAAGAAUUUUUUAUGCGUAUAUUAUACCUUGAAAUAAAUCUAAAGAUAAGAUAUAUAAUUAAACUCAUAAAAAAAUAUAUAAAAUAAGAAAAGAUAAAUAAAAGGAAAAAAAAAGAAAAAUAUAUAUUUCUUCGAUCAAACCUAAAAUAAAAGCAUCAAAAUAAUAAAAUUUUGAAUUUUUUUUAAGUCACCCGGUAUACAUAUCCAAGGCUAAGUUUAGGUAGAACAGGGGAACUGCACGGCGUUCUUCGAAUGGUCGUGAAACAGACUUGUAUAGGUGCCUCUACCUACUAUCUGCGCAUUUAUGUGCGUCUGUUCGUUUACGUUGGGGUUUGGACACCCUAGCCAACUACCCAACCUCGGAAACCUCCCUACCUCCCAACCUUCCUAUGAACGAAGCCUAUCAGACGCACUGCGGAGACCUAUCUUCUUUUUUUUCUUUCCCCUUUUAUUUUAUUUCUCUUACACCGUCGAUUAAUCUCUCUUCAAUUUUU